Long non-coding RNA from Diuraphis noxia (Russian wheat aphid), 490 nucleotides. The record is from RefSeq and is a predicted model, not a curated record. Lineage: Eukaryota; Metazoa; Arthropoda; Insecta; Hemiptera; Aphididae.
AUUGAAUAUAAUGGAGAUAGAACAUUAGAAGCUAUCAUUAAGUUUAUUGAAGCUGAUGGAAAACAAGAAAGUUCUUCUAGCACAACGAGUGAAGAAGGAGAAGAAGAAGAAGAACGUGAGAAGCCUAAAGAUGAAUUGUAGAUAUUAAUUGUAAAGAAAUGUUUAUUAUUAUUUUUAUUUUUUUUUUGUUCCAUCUUACUUGUGAAAAACUUCAGCACAUUAGAGUUCAACAAUUGGACUAAUACCUAAUUGUGUAUAUAUAGCUAAUUUUGGUUGUAUUUACKUUAUUUAAACUAAAAAAUUGGUAUUAUUACAAUUGUAAGAAAAACAAGAUUAAUUUAACUUUCAUAAUGUACCCUUUCUCAAGACUGUCAUAGAUAGGUCUGAAUAGACUUCUUAAGAACCAUAUUUUAUUUUAAAUCAAUGUCUAUGAUGUUUCCUUGGUAAGUAAAAUGAAAAUAAUAAAUUUAAUAUUGAUAUUUUUAAUUUA